GUGUCUGUAGCCUAGUGGUCAAUGGCAGCACUCUAGUAAUGUUGAGGUCAUGGGUUUGAGUCCCACCAGACACA
RNAcentral lists this transfer RNA (74 nucleotides) under Cronartium ribicola 11-2. RNAcentral describes it as "tRNA-Thr (AGT) (tRNA-Thr-AGT-32-1)". It matches the Rfam family "tRNA". Rfam says of the family: Transfer RNA (tRNA) molecules are approximately 80 nucleotides in length. Their secondary structure includes four short double-helical elements and three loops (D, anti-codon, and T loops). Further hydrogen bonds mediate the characteristic L-shaped molecular structure. tRNAs have two regions of fundamental functional importance: the anti-codon, which is responsible for specific mRNA codon recognition, and the 3' end, to which the tRNAs corresponding amino acid is attached (by aminoacyl-tRNA synthetases). tRNAs cope with the degeneracy of the genetic code in two manners: having more than one tRNA (with a specific anti-codon) for a particular amino acid; and 'wobble' base-pairing, i.e. permitting non-standard base-pairing at the 3rd anti-codon position. The record is from RNAcentral. Lineage: Eukaryota; Fungi; Basidiomycota; Pucciniomycetes; Pucciniales; Coleosporiaceae.